Molecule: transfer RNA, 93 nt
Filed under: Zetaproteobacteria bacterium
Lineage: Bacteria; Pseudomonadati; Pseudomonadota; Candidatius Mariprofundia
Description: tRNA-Ser
Rfam family: tRNA
About the family: Transfer RNA (tRNA) molecules are approximately 80 nucleotides in length. Their secondary structure includes four short double-helical elements and three loops (D, anti-codon, and T loops).
Source: RNAcentral
GGAGAGAUGGCCGAGUGGUCGAAGGCGGCUCCCUGCUAAGGAGUUGCACGGGGAUAACCCGUGCCGUGGGUUCGAAUCCCACUCUCUCCGCCA